RNAcentral lists this long non-coding RNA (3219 nucleotides) under Zea mays. Its description in RNAcentral is "long non-coding RNA (ZMAY_LNC000502)". The record is from RNAcentral. Lineage: Eukaryota; Viridiplantae; Streptophyta; Magnoliopsida; Poales; Poaceae.
CUCUAACUCUCAUCAAGAGGAUGACAUUAUGAGUUGGGGCAAUUUUCUGUUUAUUUCCUCAAACACUACACAAUGCCAUACCUUUAGAAGGGUUGGGGACACAUAUUUAUAGCCCUCGGGGCUACACUAGAAUACACUACACACUACACCACACACUGCAGCACAUAUGUGCUGUCCUCUAGAUGCUAAAGUGCAGUCAAAAGACUGCACUGUUGCUGCUGUGCACUGCACUGCCUGCUACACUGUACUGCUUGCCUGCUGCUGCCAUAGCGCAGUCAAAAGACUGCACUGUUGUUGCUGUGCACUGCACUGCCUGCUACAUUGUACUGCUUGCCUGCUGCUGCCAUAGCGCUGCACUGCACUGUUGCAGUGCGUGUUGCUGCCACACUACAGCAAAAGACUGCUGCUUUUGACUGCUGCAGAGAUGCUGUCCUCCACCAUGUUAUCCUACACAUGAUGUUGCAGAGUUGUUGUCCUCCACACAAAGACCACAUGACUUAUUCCAUCAUUCUCCCCCUAAGACUUGUGCGUCGUCUUGUGGGAAAGUUUAGCCAUCCCAGACCUGGAACAAAACUCAAGGAACUUGAUCCUCCCAAGGGGCUUGGUGAGCAAGUCCGCAAGCUGAUCCUUGGUGUUGAUGUAGCGUGCAUGGAUGCUCCCUUCUGCCAAACAGUCACGGAUGAAGUGGUAUCUCACCCGGAUGUGCUUGCUUCGUUCAUGGAACACGGGGUUCUUGGCCAACGCCAAGGCGGACUGGCUGUCCACCCGAAGUUCCACUACUCCUACGUCUCUCCCGAUGAGAUCACUGAGCAAGUGAGCAAGCCAAAGCGCCUGAGUUGAAGCGGUGGAGGCCGCUAUGUACUCGGCCUCGCAGCUGGACAUGGCCACCACCUGCUGCUUGACCGACUGUCAGCUGAUGGGGCACUUGCCGAGGAAGAAGAGGAUCCUGCUUGUGCUCUUGCUAGUGUCGAUGUCGCCGGCGUGGUCACUAUCGCUGUACCCGACAAGGUGUGCCUCCCCAGGGCACCUCGGGUAGUAGAGAUCGUGAUCAAGAGUUCCCGCAACAUAGCGGACGAUCCUCUUCACAGCCUGCUCGUGCUCCGUCGUCGGUCGCUGCAGGAACCGACUAACGUAGCCGACAGAGUAUGCUAGAUCCGGCCGUGUGUGGACGAGGUAGCGAAGGCUCCCCACAAUACGCCGGUACUGUGUAGCGUCCACCUCCUCCGUCGUGCUAUCGCGACUUAGCUUCAGCCUCUCCUCCAUCGGAGUGAGAGCUAGGUUGCAGUCGGUGAGUCCAGCCAGCUCAACAAUGCGCUUGGCGUAGGCGCUCUGGCAAAGUGUGAUCCCGGAGUCUCCCUAGUGCACCUCAAUCCCCAGGUAGGAGAGAUGCCCCAGGUCACUCAUUUGGAAGGUGGCCUUCAUCUCUUCCUUGAACGCUGCCACCUCUGCAUCCUUGGCGCCGGUGAUCACCAAGUCGUCGACGUAGACACCCACCAGCAGGGUAUUUUCUCCAUUGCCCCGCCGAUAGAUGGCCGCCUCGUGCGGGCUUGGAAUGAAGCCCAUCCUCUUGAGCGUGGAAUCCAGCUUGGCAUUCCACGCCCUUGGUGCCUGUCGCAAGCCGUAGAGGGCCUUACGCAGGCGCAACACCUUGCCCUCCUUGCCAGGGAUCGCAAAACCUAGCGGCUGGUGUACAUAAACCUCCUCCUUUAAGUCGCCGUUAAGAAACGCCGACUUGACAUCCAUGUGAUGAACAUGCCAGCCCUCCUGGGCUGCCAGCGCGAGGAGUCGCACGGAUUCCAUCCAUGCCACAGGGGCGAAGGCAUCGUCGAAGUCGAUCCCCUCCUGCUGCAAGAAACCGUGUGCCACCAAGCGAGCCUUAUGCUUAACGACGGCGCCGGCUUCAUCCCUCUUCAGUUUGAACACCCACUUAAGGGUGAUCACACGAUGACCAUGAGGGAGAUCGGCGAGCUCCCAAGUGCGGUUCGUCUCAAAAGCGUCCAUCUCCGACUGCAUCGCGGCACGCCAAGCCGCAUGUUUCUCGGCCUCCGCGAAAGACCGAGGCUCACCAUCGUCGCAUGCAAGAUGCAACUCUCCUGCCAGAAUGCGAGACGCAGGGCCCAGCACCGAUGGGUCGAUAAGAAGGCCCUCCACCCUUCGAUACUGCAACGGCUCGCCGUCGUAGCACGCGUCGACGUGUUCCUCGUCGUGGGAGAGCGGGUCACGAGCUCCACUGGGUCGUGCUCGACACGAGCUGGUGUCGAAGAGGACGUUCCAGGAGAGGGUACCGUCGGUGCUGGAGUACGUGGUGGCGAAGAGCUCGCUGUAGCCGGAGUGCAUGGUGGUGAAGAGCUCGUUGUAGCCGGAGCUGGAGAGCGUGGCGCUGGAGUCGGUGGAGACUUGGGGGCUGGGGUAGACCUACUCGGAGAAGAGUUGCCUACUCCCCUAGCUCCCUCAAAGUGGACGUACUCGAUGGUGAAGUCGUCGUACGUCGGAGUCGUGCCGUCGUCCACCGCCUUAUCCCACGCCCAUCCUCACCCUUCGUCGAACACUACGUCGCGCGUCGUGCGCACACGCUGUGUUCCUGGGUCAAGAAUGCGGUAGGCCUUCGAGCCCUCCGCGUAGCCAAUGAACACUCCCGGGGUGCUCCAAUCGUCGAGCUUGCUGAUGUGGCCAAGCUCCUUGGUGAACACGAGGCAGCCGAAGACCUGUAGAUGAGAGACCGCCGGCUUGCGCCCGUGCCAAGCCUCGUACGGUGUCAUCCCGUUGAGAGCCUUGGUGGGCGAGCGGUUGAAGAUGUAAACCGAUGUCACCACCGCCUCUCCCUAGAAGACAGCCGGCAUUCCCCUCUAUUUGAGGAGAGCCCGAGCCAUCCCCACAACCGUCUGGUUGCGCCGCUCGACGACGCCGUUCUACUGCGGGAUGUACGGCGUGGAGUAGUGGCACUAACUCUCAUCAAGAGGAUGACACUAUGAGUUGGGGCAAUUUUUUGUUUAUUUCCUCAAACAAUACACAAUGUCAUACCCUUAGAAGGGUUGGGGACACAUAUUUAUAGCCCUCGGGGCUGCACUAGAAUACACUACACACUACACCACACACUGCAGCACAUAUGUGCUGUCCUCUAGAUGCUAAAGUGCAGUCAAAAGACUGCACUGAACUGCCUGCCUGCUGCUGCCACAGCGCAGUCAAAAGACUGCACUGUUGCUGUUGUGCACUGCACUG